RNAcentral lists this ribosomal RNA (120 nucleotides) under uncultured bacterium. Its description in RNAcentral is "partial 16S ribosomal RNA". It matches the Rfam family "Bacterial small subunit ribosomal RNA", at positions 29 to 159 of the family's 1533-position model. The record is from RNAcentral.
AACGAACGCUGGCGGCAUGCCUAACACAUGCAAGUCGAACGAGACCUUCGGGUCUAGUGGCGCACGGGUGCGUAACGCGUGGGAAUCUGCCCUUGGGUCCGGAAUAACAGUUAGAAAUGA